GAUGAAGAACGCAGCGAAAUGCGAUAAGUAAUGUGAAUUGCAGAAUCCAGUGAAUCAUCGAAUCUUUGAACGCACAUUGCGCCCGCCAGCAUUCUGGCGGGCAUGCCUGUUCGAGCGUCAUUUCAACCCUCGACCUCCCUUUGGGGAAGUCGGCGUUGGGGACCGGCAGCACACCGCCGGCCCUGAAAUGGAGUGGCGGCCCGUCCGCGGCGACCUCUGCGUAGUAAACCAACUCGCACCGGAACCCCGACGUGGCCACGCCGUAAAACACCCAACUUCUGAACGUUGACCUCGAAUCAGGUAGGACUACCCGCUGAACUUAAGCAUAGCAAUAAGCGGAGGA
This 343-nucleotide unclassified non-coding RNA is filed under the name soil metagenome. RNAcentral describes it as "partial contains 5.8S ribosomal RNA, internal transcribed spacer 2, and large subunit ribosomal RNA". The stretch from base 1 to 120 matches the Rfam family "5.8S ribosomal RNA", at positions 35 to 154 of the family's 154-position model. The record is from RNAcentral.